This is a long non-coding RNA of Malurus melanocephalus (red-backed fairy wren), 1013 nucleotides long. RefSeq lists it as uncharacterized. The record is from RefSeq and is a predicted model, not a curated record. The transcript has 3 exons. NCBI's taxonomy places the organism in Eukaryota, Metazoa, Chordata, Aves, Passeriformes, Maluridae.
AUAAUAAUAAUAAUAAUAAUAAUGUAAUAAUAAUAAAAGUGUUCAUCGCAGUUGUUCCACAUAAUCCUCCAUAACUUGCUGUUUCCAAGUUUGUAAUCCUUUGAUGCUUAUUUGGCUACAAAAUGAAAGCCUUGUCUCCAGAUAAUGAAGGAAAGGAAGGUUGUCCUGGGCCAUUUGAAACCUAAGAAUAUUUGAUUCUUUCAUUGUUUACAGCUAGACUUGAAAAGGAUCAAAAAGAUUUUUGCAGGAYCAGCUUAGUGUAAAGGCUUCUUUCUGCCUUGUAGCACAGGCAGUGACCAUAAAGAAGGUAUUAUCUUUAGGAAUCAGUUACACAGCCAUUAAAGCAAACUAGAGAUUAUUUCAUACAACAGGAGCAGGGAGUGGAGAGCUUUUUCAAUAUGGAAAUAGCUUUGGAUGUAUAAACCAGAAAGCUUAAAUUUACCAAAAAAAACUAAGUUCUCUGUUUACUGAAAACUUCAGUUUUUUCAUACUCUUCUACACCUGUUCUGGAAAUCAACAGACACCCAGAUUGCCAUUAAUGACUGCACUUGAUUUCCUUCAGGAAGCCAUACCUAAUUAUCCAAAUGGAACUCUUAAGGCACAACGGAGUAAAAUAGAUUGGAAACAUUUUCAGCUGAGUUUCUCCAUUUGGAUUAACUCCAUUGGAAUGAAAUUUCCCUGCUCUUAGGACCUGAAGUGCAUCAGCACAAAGCAGCAGGAUAUACAAGCAGCUAAACCCAGAAUAUCCAACGCUAUUGAGAAAAGAGCAUUUGGAUCCCACAUGGAAGAACACAAGAGACAGUGGCUUAUUAGGAAUGAGAAUCCUGCAGCUAAGGGAAAUUGAUAUUGGCACUGAUACCUUCAAAAAUGCUACCAAGGGUGAAAAGGAGCCAACAACAGCACAGCUACAAGAAGGUGUAAUUAGAACUGGCUGCAAGGUGGAUAUGUAAAUGUGUGUAUUCUGUAUCACAACCACUCACAGUGAUGCAAAACAUUUGAAGGAAAAAUUAUUG